This 207-nucleotide ribosomal RNA is filed under the name uncultured bacterium. Its description in RNAcentral is "partial 16S ribosomal RNA". It matches the Rfam family "Bacterial small subunit ribosomal RNA", at positions 568 to 774 of the family's 1533-position model. The record is from RNAcentral.
CUCGUAGGCGGUUCGUCGCGUCUGGUGUGAAAGUCCAUCGCUUAACGGUGGAUCUGCGCCGGGUACGGGCGGGCUGGAGUGCGGUAGGGGAGACUGGAAUUCCCGGUGUAACGGUGGAAUGUGUAGAUAUCGGGAAGAACACCAAUGGCGAAGGCAGGUCUCUGGGCCGUUACUGACGCUGAGGAGCGAAAGCGUGGGGAGCGAACA